This 496-nucleotide ribosomal RNA is filed under the name uncultured bacterium. RNAcentral describes it as "partial 16S ribosomal RNA". It matches the Rfam family "Bacterial small subunit ribosomal RNA", at positions 29 to 507 of the family's 1533-position model. The record is from RNAcentral.
AUGAACGCUGGCGGCGUGCCUAAUACAUGCAAGUCGAGCGAACAGACGAGGAGCUUGCUCCUCUGACGUUAGCGGCGGACGGGUGAGUAACACGUGGAUAACCUACCUAUAAGACUGGGAUAACUUCGGGAAACCGGAGCUAAUACCGGAUAAUAUAUUGAACCGCAUGGUUCAAUAGUGAAAGACGGUUUUGCUGUCACUUAUAGAUGGAUCCGCGCCGCAUUAGCUAGUUGGUAAGGUAACGGCUUACCAAGGCGACGAUGCGUAGCCGACCUGAGAGGGUGAUCGGCCACACUGGAACUGAGACACGGUCCAGACUCCUACGGGAGGCAGCAGUAGGGAAUCUUCCGCAAUGGGCGAAAGCCUGACGGAGCAAUGCCGCGUGAGUGAUGAAGGUCUUCGGAUCGUAAAACUCUGUUAUUAGGGAAGAACAAAUGUGUAAGUAAUUAUGCACGUCUUGACGGUACCUAAUCAGAAAGCCACGGCUAACUACGUG